GUCUUUUUGUUAUUUUUAAAAAGUCUAGUCUGCCCACUGAAAUUUAAAUGGCCGCGGUAUUUUGACCGUGCUAAGGUAGCAUAAUCAUUAGUUUUUUAAUUGAAAGCUGGAAUGAAGGGCUGGAUGAAAAAAUAUCUGUCUCUAUUUAAUUAAAAUGAAUUUUAUUUUUAAGUUAAAAAGCUUAAAUAUUAUUAAAAGACGAGAAGACCCUAUAGAGUUUUAUAAUACAAUAAAUUAAUUUAUUUAGAAUUAAAUUUUUAAAUUUAUUAUUAUUAUUUGAUUGGGGUGAUUUAAAAAUUAAAAUAACUUUUUAUUUAUUUUUAUAUAAAUUAAUAAUUAAUUGAUCCAUAUAUUUAUGAUUAAAAGAUAAAUUACCUUAGGGAUAACAGCGUAAUUUUAUUGGAGAGUUCAAAUUGAUAAUAAAGAUUGCGACCUCGAUGUUGGAUUAAAAUUUAUAAUUGGUGUAGAAGCUAUAUUAUUAAGUCUGUUCGACU
Molecule: ribosomal RNA, 494 nt
Filed under: Trichobrotica sexplagiata
Lineage: Eukaryota; Metazoa; Arthropoda; Insecta; Coleoptera; Chrysomelidae
Description: partial 16S ribosomal RNA
Source: RNAcentral